RNAcentral lists this long non-coding RNA (210 nucleotides) under Homo sapiens (human). Its description in RNAcentral is "non-protein coding lnc-C19orf85-5:1". Lineage: Eukaryota; Metazoa; Chordata; Mammalia; Primates; Hominidae. The record is from RNAcentral.
AGUGUGCACGUGGCGGUGGCGACGCAGGCACGACGUGUUGCGGAAGGCCUUGCCACACUCCCCGCAGGCGUAGGGCCGCUCGCCAGAGUGCAGCCGCAGGUGGUACUGGUAGUGGGACGACCACUUGAAGGUGAGGCCGCACUGGCCACAGGUGAAGGCCCGCAGGCCCGUGUGCACCCGCUGGUGGAUGGCCAGCAGGGAGGAGCGCUU